UGAAACACGGACCAAGGAGUCUAGCAUGUGCGCGAGUCAUUGGGACUUACGAAUAAACCCAGAGGCGCAAUCAAAGUGAAAGGACGCGCCCAGCGCGCGUCCCCGAGGGAAGAUGCGCGGGCGCCGCCGCGCGCCCCGCCGCAUUCCCGAGGCGUUCCGAGAAAGCCGCCGUGCGACUAUCGGGACGCACUGAGAGCGUACACGCUGGGACCCGAAAGAUGGUGAACUAUGCCUGGUCAGGUCGAA
Molecule: ribosomal RNA, 246 nt
Filed under: Odontocerum cf. albicorne-Spain
Lineage: Eukaryota; Metazoa; Arthropoda; Insecta; Trichoptera; Odontoceridae
Description: partial 28S large subunit ribosomal RNA
Rfam family: Eukaryotic large subunit ribosomal RNA
Source: RNAcentral